RNAcentral lists this ribosomal RNA (119 nucleotides) under Lepisosteus oculatus (spotted gar). Lineage: Eukaryota; Metazoa; Chordata; Actinopteri; Semionotiformes; Lepisosteidae. The record is from RNAcentral.
GCUAGCAGCUGCAUCACCCUGCAACUCACGACUGGCAGCCCCACUGGAGCUCAGCAGGUGUGAGCCUGUCCAGUACCUGGAUGGGAGACUUCCUGGGAAAGCUGAGGUUGCUGCUGGAA